RNAcentral lists this unclassified non-coding RNA (240 nucleotides) under soil metagenome. RNAcentral describes it as "partial contains 5.8S ribosomal RNA, internal transcribed spacer 2, and large subunit ribosomal RNA". The record is from RNAcentral.
AACGCACGAGACCUGCGGACCUGCGGAGGGAUCAUUAAUGAGAAACUGCCCCUCGCGGGUAGAUCUCCCACCCUAUGUAAACUUACCUUUGUUGCUUUGGCAGGCCCGUCUCCGGACCGCCGGCUUCGGCUGGCCAGUGCCUGCCAGAGGAUUCUAAAACUCUGUCUGUCAGUGUUGUCUGAGUCUAUAUACAAUCGUUAAAACUUUUAACAAUGGAUCUCUAGAUCGGAAGAGCACACG